GCGCUCUUAGUAUAGUGGUCAGUAUCCACGGUUGCCAUCCGUGGGACCCGGGUUCAAUUCCCGGAGGGCGCA
RNAcentral lists this transfer RNA (72 nucleotides) under Promethearchaeota archaeon. RNAcentral describes it as "Candidatus Lokiarchaeota archaeon (microbial mat metagenome) tRNA-Gly". It matches the Rfam family "tRNA". Rfam says of the family: Transfer RNA (tRNA) molecules are approximately 80 nucleotides in length. Their secondary structure includes four short double-helical elements and three loops (D, anti-codon, and T loops). Lineage: Archaea; Promethearchaeati; Promethearchaeota. The record is from RNAcentral.